Molecule: ribosomal RNA, 478 nt
Filed under: uncultured bacterium
Lineage: Bacteria
Description: partial 16S ribosomal RNA
Rfam family: Bacterial small subunit ribosomal RNA
Source: RNAcentral
GACGAACGCUGGCGGCGUGCUUAACACAUGCAAGUCGAACGGUAAGGCCCUUCGGGGUACACGAGUGGCGAACGGGUGAGUAACACGUGGGUGAUCUGCCCUGCACUUCGGGAUAAGCCUGGGAAACUGGGUCUAAUACCGGAUAGGACUCCUGGCUUCAUGGUUGGGGGUGGAAAGCUUUUGCGGUGUGGGAUGGGCCCGCGGCCUAUCAGCUUGUUGGUGGGGUAAUGGCCUACCAAGGCGACGACGGGUAGCCGGCCUGAGAGGGUGACCGGUCGGACUGGGACUGAGAUACGGCCCAGACUCCUACGGGAGGCAGCAGUGGGGAAUAUUGCACAAUGGGCGCAAGCCUGAUGCAGCGACGCCGCGUGAGGGAUGACGGCCUUCGGGUUGUAAACCUCUUUCAGCACCGACGAAGCGCAAGUGACGGUAGGUGCAGAAGAAGGACCGGCCAACUACGUGCCAGCCGCCGCCGUAA